Molecule: long non-coding RNA, 9775 nt
Organism: Mus musculus (house mouse)
Lineage: Eukaryota; Metazoa; Chordata; Mammalia; Rodentia; Muridae
Product: predicted gene, 29901
Exons: 2
Source: RefSeq, a predicted model, not a curated record
GGACUAUCACAAUUUCAAGGCUAGCCAGGAGUACACAGUGAAUUUGAGACCAGCCUCAGCUGGAGGGCAAGAUCCUGUCUUGAAACAAAACCUAAACCAAAUCAGCGCAAACCUGUUUCCUUCCUAUGGGACUCCUACAAAGUCUCCAUAACUUUUGCUGGGGCCUCCUGCCUGGUUCCCUCUACAUCAGGCAACGUCAACACCCUAGUGCAGUAGGAAGGGACCUAGCUGCAGAUACUUAAGAAGAAUACGGUUAGACCCUGUGCCAGUUUCUGUCUAAGGCAAGGGACAUGGAGCUCGGGACGGGAGGUCUAAAAGGUGCUCCCUGCCUUCCAAGAGGCAGAAAUGGCAUGAAACUCGAAAAGGACACUGGGAUAUUGGGAGCAUGCUCUGUACUCAGGGAAGGAUCUUAAACACGGGAGGGUCAUGGAGAGGAAUCAGGAGAGCAAGUGAAGGAGGCAGGAAGGGAGCGAGGAGAAAAGAGCUCUGGGGUCCAGUUUAACCAAAAACAGGGUACAGAGAACAUAGGCUGAAAGUGGUACCCGUGUUGACCUCCCAUCCCUGAAAUUAUAUAAGAUGAAACGGAGUGAUGCUUACAUACAGGAAAGCCUCCAGUGAAGGAAAGGGGCUUCUUACCCCUGUCUAACGAGGGAAGGAUGUACUGGCUGGGUCUGCCUCUCUACUGUCUUGACCCUCGAAUCACACUAAAGACAAGAGCCUAGAAGACACCAUCAGAAUCUAGACUCAACAUGACGUACACCCGUGCUACUCAGCAUGCUAGCAUGGGUCCCACAUAUUAUGUACAGUAAUGGUUCCCAGGACCCGACUUCUGGGCUACUAAUGACCCGAUCCCUGAAGCCUGCUGGUCUUGGUGACUGUGCCAAGUACCUCAAAGGAAUUCUUCUAACUCAGAGAGGCUAGACCCAGGCAGGGCAGGCAGCCAGAACCAGCAGCUGAAUAGGGAAUGGGAUGAGAGUUCUGCUGUUGCUCACCAUUGCCUCCAGUUCUCCACUCUAGGGAAAUCUGGUCCUAAAUGGGGGCACUUCGCAAGAACGGCCUAGUGGCCUGCCAGCUGUGUGACCUUUGGCAGCAGCAAGUUAGGACCUGGGAGGUGCAGCCUAUGUGCAACCAACAACAAUGAGUCCUCUCCUUGUAUAUCUGCCAUCUUUGCACUUCUGUGCUGCUGAGUGUUGAGCAAUGAAGGGAACCUCCACCACCCACCGGGGGAAAAAUGUUUUUUUUUUUUCUCUAAAUGGAAGAAGUCAUGCUAACCAAUGAGCUGUUCCAGCUUGCACAGCAAACACGCUUGCUAAGCGAAUGCUUAUCUGAUGGCAGACUUGUGUCGGGGUAAACAGAAUUAAUAUCUCUGGGAUCUGUUUACACUGGCGAGAGCCCACUCUGAGGGACGUGGACAGAGUAACUGCAUCAGGGCGCAGUGCUCUCUCCUGUCAAGCAACAGCUAACUGGUGUGCAAACUCAGGGAAAGCAGGGUGGUGGGCAGGAGAGCACAGUUGAGUGUGUGGCAGGCGCCUGCCCAUCCUAGGGCAGCAGAGCUUGUUUGCACAGGACACUUAUUCUCGCCACAGUGCACAUCCAGGAUGGUCUGAAUUUUUCAAGCUAGAACUGUGUGCUGCUGUUUCCUGGGUGCGCAGCGCUGGCUAUGGUAUAUCAUGUAGCAACGGUGGAGGCACAGAGAUAGGGAGGUAGGGUUACUGAGUAGUCUUGAUCAUGAAGAUGGACUAGGAACAGCCAGGGCAUCCCAGAAAGGAGAUUCAGGGAUGAUCCAUUAAAUGCUCUCUCGCCUGUUCUCUCUUCUUCCAAUCCCAAUUACUUAAAGAGCUCUCCUACCAUAGCAUCUUCCUUCCACUUGCUAUUAGAACACAACUGUAAGAUAAAUGCCCCCAGAUGUAUUAUCUGCUCUCAUUUGGAAACAUGCUGUGGCUAAAAGCCAGCCCCACCCCCACCCCUCAUAAGUAGAUCUCUCAUAAAAUUAGUUAAUUAUCUCUCCCAUUUAGGUGACAGGCAUAAUAAGGAAAUGAAAGCGCUUGCCACAUGUCUUCAUAUAACAGGCUUGCCGCCUCCUCCUCCUCUUCUUCUUCCUCCUCCUCCUCUUCUUCUUUUUAAUAGACAGCCUUCAGGUUUGUAGAGCGAGGCUCAGGAGGAAGAAGUUCCAUCUUCUUGGAAUUAUGAGAAGGUUUAUUUAGCAUCAUGUCUUCCCAGGGCUUUGAAGAACGUGAACUGCGUUCGCUUCAGUUCAAUUUAACCAACAUAUGGAUCUCCUUCUGGCUCGAGAGGGCCCACGCCUGCCCCUCUUUUGCUGGGUCUAUCUUCCCAGGUACAGGAACUAGAACUUGGUACACAUGAAUACAGUGUCACUCCAUGCUACUUCUCUGAGAGGAGUGAAAAUGCCCGAACCCAACCUGACCUCACUUGCCAGUUCUCUCAGCCAACAGUUGCUCUUUCUGCCUGAAUUCUUUGGAUUUGUGCACGGAAACAUCCCCAUUUCCCCUGGGGCAUGCUAAUGGCUCUGAAACUUGGUUGUUGGCUUGACGUUAUUACCACUAAAUAUGAAAACAUAGCAACAAGGGUGGGGGGAUCAUCAAUGCUGGCAGAAGAAUUCAAUCCUGAUGCUACUAUACACUUACCUUUCCAAUAGGAAGCAUUUGAAAGCAAAACAAAAAACCCCAUGGCUUUUAUGCCAACCUCUACAGGGAGGCCUUAUAACAACACUGGUAAUUAAACUCUAUCUAUAAUAUCCAAAUCAUAUGUACUGAUUAAUAGGAAACAGAACCUAAAGGAGGAAUGGUAGGUUCUUUACAGAAUCCCAGACCUUCUUCAAACAAGAAACUGUAUCAGUAAUGGCCAACAGAACUUUUAAUUAUCCUGAGGUGAGUCCAGCCUGUGGCAUUGGGUCACUAUUCCCUUUGCAGCCUGACAGCUCAUUAGUGUCCUGUUCCAUGGAGCCUUUUACAAUUAACAUCACUGUGGACACAUAUUCCCUCUACAUGUAGAUCUCAACAGAAAAAAAAAAAUAAUGUUUUUGAUGUGUUGCUGUUUUUUUAGCAAGGAAGCCUGUAUGUGUGCCUUUUGGGUACGUGCAGCAUAGAAGAGUUGUUGGAAUCACAAGGGACAACCAGUUCUGGUUGCUUUACCUCUCUAUUAUCUUUACAAAGGACUUUCUCAUAUGCUAUGAAGCAUCAACCCUGAAAAUGUCUACGCUCUUCCUGAAAACAAACACCAGUGUUUGCAAACCCUGCCAAUACCUAGCCUGGUGACCACGAGUGUCCACUUAUUCUUAUUGUUUAUUUACUUAUGCAUUGUUGGAGCAUGGGCCCAGGGACUCCUCCACACUAGUUGACACUGUACCACACUACUACACUUCAGCUUUUAUUUAUUUAUUUUUAUUUAGAUUGAGCCUCUCUUUCACUAAGUUUCCCACACUGGCCUUGAACUUGCAAUCCUCCUGCCUCAGAUGAGACUACAAAACUGAAUAUCCUAGAUUUGGACAUUGACAAACUAAUAUCUCUGAAAGUGUGUUCCAGGAGACAUCGCUUCCUCCAGAUAUGGACAGGUACCCUCUAGAGGAAGCCUCCAGGGCCUGAGGAGACGCUCAGUGGGUAAAUCGUGUGAGGGCCAGAGCUUGAUCUUCAGCACCUAUGGAAUUCUGGGUAGGCAUGGAGAACUGUGUAUAGCUCUCAAACUUGCAAAGAGGCAGGGUCUUCCUCAGAGCAAGCUGGCUAAUGACUAGCUGAAUCAGAGAGCUUUGCCUUUCAGCGGGAGACCUUACCUCAAGAGAUAAGGGAGAAAGCAACAAGGAAGAUACCCAACUUCAACUUCUUUCCCACACAAAACAGUGUACCCCGCAACACACAAAUUCAUGCAGAUGCACAUGCAUGCACACCAUUCACACAAAAUGAGCAUUAGGUUAACUGUUUUAGGCUAUCAAAUGACUACCUCAGAGACUUUCGUAUGUUGUGAAUGUCCAAAUAAACAAUGCAUUAGAGUUUCCCCACAAGCUUUUGCCUGGAGAACCCUGUCUUUUUGAGACUCAUGUCACAUAAGCAUUCCUGGAACACUCCUGCUGCCCUCAGUGACUUCUGCUGAAGCAAAGCUGGCGGCAGCAGAUCAGACAGGAAUAAGGAAACUGGGUGUCUACACCGGCACCCAAAAGCCAGGCUUCCAACGCACCACCUUCUCAUCUGUUUCCUGUACCCCACCCCCACCCCAAGACAUGAAUCUGUCAUGAAGAUGACCUGGACCAUCACAACCAGUGGCUUUAGUGUUAUAAACAGGAUGGGUCCUGCCACUGAGUGUGUGUGCUAUGGGUGUGUGUGUAGCGAUGUGCAGACAAGGAUUGUGACCUGGGCCACAGCACAGAUACACCAGGACCGUUUCCUCUGGUAACGACUGUUGGACAGCUUGGUGGCCAUUUCCUCAAGAGUGUAUCCCACUACGGCCAUUUCCAUUCUUGCCUUUAUGUCAACAAAGCCCACACCUGGGAAAUGCUCAUCCUGGCAACUCUCUCUGGCCCCAGACAUGCAGGGUCACCGACUACCACAGAGAUGUUGCCCUGGGGACAGGGCCUGGCCGGAGUCCUCACCUCAGUGCAUUUGGAACAGACUCAUCAUGUACUCCCUGACCCCCGUCCCCCCACCCCCAAGGCUUUCCCUUCUUCCUUUGCUUUGUGACCAUCUUCCUCACAUCUUGGGUAUUACCAUUGCUGUUUCUCUCUCCUGCACCCCUCCAUUCCUAAGUCACUCCAUGCUGGAUCCCCACCGUGCUUACCGCCCCUUCGCAUCUCCAGGCCCAGCACCCAGCAGUGCCAUUGUUUUCCAAUGUCCCACUGCUCACUUGAUUCAUCCCUCAGCCUCCUCCUGAUCCUUCUACCUCCUUGUACUGUCUGGUUGUGUGUGUCAACUUGCACAGACUGGAGUUAUCACAGAGAAAGGAGUUUCAGUUGGGAAAGUGCCUCCAUGAAAUCCAGCUGUAAGGCAUUUUCUCAAUUAGCAAUCAAGGGUGGGAGGGCCUCUUGUGGGUGGUGCCAUCCCUGGCCUGGUAGUCCUGGGUUCUAUAAGAGAGCAAGCUGAGCAAUCCAGGGGAAGCAAGACAGUAAAGAACAUCCCUCCAUGGCCUCUGCAUCAGCUCCUGCUUCCUGACCUGCUUGAGUUCCAGUCCUGACUUCCUUGGUGAUGAACAACAACAUGGAAGUAUAAGCUGAAUAAAGCCUUUCCUCCCCAACUUGCUUCUUGGUCAUGAUGUUUGUGCAGGAAUAGAAACCCUGUCUAAGAGACUCCUGUUUCACCUUGGAAGAACCCUUUGAAGAUUCAGAACUCUAUGUGAGUCUCCUAGCACAACUCCCCUUCACCUCUAGACCACAGCUUAGCCUUCUCUGCUUGGCUUCCAAAGCCCUCUACUCCUCCUUGCCCACCUCUCCUUCUCCAGCUCUAGACUCCAGACGUGGCAUCUCCUUUCAGACUUGUCCUUCCCACACAGACCUGUUUACUCUUCCUCCCACUGCCUUCUCCUCACAACUACAUACCUGCGUCUCACCUACCCUCAUCCCCAGGCUAGAUCUGGUGUCCUCAUCUCAUUCCCAUUCUUCUGUGGUAUGUUUGACGUCAUGGGAUACCUACCCCUCAUGGCCUACUGAAUUACAUGGUGCACAACAGAUGUUCAGUAAAUAUUAGCUAAAUGGAAGUACGAUUUUCUGCCAUUCUUCCAGGAGUAUUGUUGGAUCAACAAAUUCAGUGGCUCUGUUCCCAAUAUGCAGAGGGAUACCAGGCAGGGACUGUCAAUCACUGCAGAUUCUGUGAACUGCAAUUCCUGGUUGUCACCUACUUAAUGCAGUGGAUCCCAUGCAGCCCUUAUAUGGUUUUUGGUUGUCUUAGUGUCAGAGCCUGAGGGCUAGUCCUGUGUCAGGCAGUGAGAACUUGAAGCCCUGCCUGCACAGUUGCUACCCAGGACAGGGACUGCAGACCCCACACUUGACGCUUUCUAGUCUUAUCCCAGUGUCCUCUUUGUUUUCACUUCCCCUUGUGACUGACUGUCCCAUCUUUUCUAUACUCUCAUCAUCUUGGAUAAAUCAAAGUUUAAAUCAUUGUACCAUGAGAUCAGAUCUGUCCUCUCUCCAGCUCAGUGAGCUUUCCUGAGGCCCCUCUGUGACUCCUCCUCCAAACUGCCUAAAACUGCUCUCUCAAAAGCCACCACCACCACCAUCACCAUGACCACCAGCAGCAGCAGCAGAGCUCUGAUGAACACGUAGUAAUAUGUCCCUUUGUCACUUGAAUCUACAAUAACUUCAUACAAUAACAGUAGGAAGCAGAUCCUACUAUGUCUCAAAUUUCCUAGACCCAAAGACACAGAGGUAGAGACUCCCCAGAUUAGUCCACAGCACACAGCUGGAGUCACAAAGACAGGUCUGUGGAGGACCCCACUUCACAGGGGCUUUCAAGUCACCUCCCCAGGCUUCUGGCUGUCCCUCCACCACAGAUGCCUGUGACUUCAGGCAUGAAGAUGGGUGGGCUAGUGCUUGCCCUCCUGGCACUCGGAGUAGCCCAUGACUCUAGAUGAACACUUGAAGGCAGACUGAAUGGAUGUUUAAAGUCGGUGACUGCGGAGCAAGUAUGAAGCAAGGCUGGACAUACCCAAGGUGAGAGGGUGUGCUUCACUUUACCCUGUCCGCUUAGUAACAAUGACGUAAUCACCAGUAGAGGACAGAUAACUGUGGUUAGAACCUCAUCUAAGUUCCAGACUGGAAAGAAGCUUGCAAAACCCCAGCUAACUUCUCUAAAUAAGAUCUGCUCUGGCUGAGCAUGUGCCGUCGCAAUACAGUUGAUUGCCUUAUCCAUUAGCUAUUGGAGAAACAACAUGAUCAGUUAACUUGAAUUAUCCCCUAUGUAGCUCCUCUUCCUCACAGCUUCAUCUCCAAGCCCCUGACACCUUGAACUAUCACAUCAUAUAAUAUCUUUAGGUAGGAAAAAAAUGUAUAGAAACCUAUUGUUUUUCAAGGUUGAAACACUGAAUUUUUACAUGGAAAGCUUGUUCCAAUUAUAGUAAUUACCAUGUGAGGGUAUUGGGAAGUUGAGUGGGUAAUCCCAGUAUGGCACACCCUGAUGAGUGUCCGCUAUUUUCUUAUCAUUUGUGUGCCCUUUCCUGAGGAGGUCUGGGGAGCCCUGGCUGUGACUGGGGCAGGCCAGUGGCUCAUCAUCUCCUCUUAAGAGGGCAGGGAUGACGGUGAGGAAUACUGAAUGGUGAGCUGUGUUGAUUUGGAACUGGGCCACAGUGGCUUCCCCAUUAGAUGGGAUGUGCCCUUGAGAAGCAUCCACUUAACCAUCCUCCUGUGAGCACUUGCAGGCGAGCAGAGGAGAUGCUGGAGAAGACACUGAAAUCCCUACACCAGACUCCUGAUAAAGCAGCAAGAGAGGACACAAUACCGUCAAUGGUGGCUUCUCUUUGGGAAGCCCAUACUAUUUUAGAUACAAAAUGAACUCCUCACAUUCUGAACAAUGCCAAGGAUCACCAAUUUAAAAAAUAUAGUCCCACAUUAAAUGACAAUCAUAGUGUUAUUCUUUAAAAUAUAUCAUUUCCCCUCUUCUCUUUAUUCCCAUCGACCUCUCUUAUCACCCCCGCCCCCCCCCCACCUAAAUUCAUGGCCUUUUUUUUUCCCCUUUAAUGGCUGUUGUUAUAUGCAUGGAAUCCUCUGAGUUACAUAUUCUUAUAGGCGGGCAUUAUGUCCCUCCAACGAAAAGUCCUCACAUCGGGCCUGAGAAGAGAACUUGACGGGGAAAUGCUGGUCUUGCAAGCAUGAGGAGCCUGAGUUUCCAUCCUCAGAAACACACACACACACACACACACACACACACACACACACACACAAUGCCAGCUAUGGUAUCAUAAUCCCAGCGCUAGAAGAGAAGCAGAUCAUCAGUGCUUGCUGGCCAGCCAGCAGAUCUGACAAGCUGCAGACCAGUGAGAGAACACAUCUUUUUUUUUUUUUUUUUUAAUGGCUUAUACUUGAGGAAUGACACGAGGUUGGCAUGUAAACACUCACCUAUCCACUCACACACACCCCCACACCCCCCCACACACACAUACCACACACACAAACACAUACACACACACACACCACACAGACACACACACACACACACACCAUGCAUACACACAUAAGUCAACAUCUGCAUGCUGUAGUGAGAUCCUGUGUAAAAGAAAGUUCAUAUGCCAGUCAAGGGGUGCACUUAGAGAAAGUGUUUAAAGCUUUGAUGAGACAAGUGCACAGCAUGAUGAAAAGACUCUGAUGUUUCUCUUCCACAUUUCUCUUUCUCCAUAAUACAACCUAUUGUGGGGUAAAACGAUGUCUUUCUGUGGGGCACCAAACAGAAGAGUAAGUAUGGUCUUCGAGUGUCUGGUUCCCAUCCUUUGGAGCGAUGGCUAGGGACCACUUGAAUGGCAGGUCUCCAAAGGAAGUGGGGACCGACAGGAAGUGGGGAGAUGAGUCAACAGGAGGGGUCCUUCCUCUGACUCAGUUGAGGCUCCGUGUAACUACAGAGUGGGCACUGGUCUCCCAAAGCCAAAACAAAAUUAAGAUCUGAAACCAAGAUGUAGCUCACAAAGGAGCCUUUUCAGGAAGUGGGCUUGGGAUGCGGGCUGAAGCUGAGCCACGGGUGUGGCUCGUGCUUGCCCUCUAACUCAGAGCCUGCUACUCCAACUUCUGUGCCACAACAGCUUCUAAGUCUCUAAGGGAAAGAGCAGCCAGAUGUGAAUUUCACGGGGAAGGGGUUUCUAUGAUGAAAGCACGCCAUCCUUAACUUAUUAAAGGCUGAGCAUCAGUGACGAGCACAGACAGGCACGGGAACACUAAGGUAGAACUAACUCACAUGCAGUCAAGUGCAGAGCUCGAGGUGACGGGGCUGACGGCGCUAACCGUGAGCACCAAACUCUGCCACUUAACACAUUAUUUCUGGAAUCUGGGAUUUUGUUUUUCCCCCUCCAACUCUAAAAACAAGACAGACAAAAACCCUUCACGUUUCAUCGUUACUUUCCUCUCAGGAGCUUCUAACGUGUUACUUCGGGAUGAGCAUUAGUCUCCAGAUUUAAAUUUAAUUUUCUACAGGAGAGAAAAUAAAAAACGAACAAACUCAGGAUGAACUAAAACCUUUCAGAUUGUCCCCAUGCUGUGUUCUGCCUGUUCUUCACCUGCCCCACUGGGAAGAACGCCGCAUUCAUAAAACUGUAGAUUCAAUACUAUCAUUUCCAUGGUGACAGAAGGCCACUUCACAGAGAAUUAUGAUUUCAUCAGGGCACCUGGAGGUGAAGAAAGUAGGCGGGGAACAAAUGGACUAUAAAGAGCGAACGAUAAAUCAUGUUUGUGUAAGGACAGGCCACGACCUCUCCGAUGGAGCCUACGCAGCCUUCCAAAUGAGCUCGCUCCCAUGCCCCAAGCUUCAAGAAUUACAUUCUGAUACUUUACUAUGGCUGGUCUAAAGACAACAAGGAAAAGAAUGACAGCAUUGUGGCCCACUAGAGGUUGAAUGUCACCCGCAUCAAGGCUGAAUGUCAAGGCUGACUAUUCCAUAACACUACUCAUGGUCCCUGCCCGUUCCUUCUUCCCUUCUUUAUUCUGGUAGAUAGUUUUAGUGAUGUGAUCAUGAAAAUAUUGUUUGGUUGAACAUAUUUGCCUAUAAAAUAUAUGCAAAUAGCCUCACAAAGCUUGAAAAUCAGUAAGGGAAAACAAAUUUUUGUUUAAUGUUUCCUUGAAGUAAAAUGAGAAUUCAAA